CCCCGCAGGUGAACUGCGGGGACAUCUUCUGACUGCAACAAGGGGUCUGCCCGUG
Molecule: regulatory RNA element, 55 nt
Organism: Erwinia billingiae
Lineage: Bacteria; Pseudomonadati; Pseudomonadota; Gammaproteobacteria; Enterobacterales; Erwiniaceae
Rfam family: ClpQY promoter
Source: Rfam